Molecule: unclassified non-coding RNA, 159 nt
Filed under: Hirsutella subulata
Lineage: Eukaryota; Fungi; Ascomycota; Sordariomycetes; Hypocreales; Ophiocordycipitaceae
Also listed under: 1 other name
Description: partial internal transcribed spacer 2
Source: RNAcentral
CAACCCUCGAGCACCGCUCGGCGUUGGGGGAGCGGCCCGCGCGCCGCCCCCCGAAAUGCAGUGGCGACCUCGCCGCGUUCCUCCCCUGCGCAGUAGCUCUCAAGAGAACCUCGCAUCGGCGGCGCGGCGGCGGUCACGCCGUGAAACACCCCCCUCAAG